Molecule: ribosomal RNA, 253 nt
Filed under: uncultured bacterium
Lineage: Bacteria
Description: partial 16S ribosomal RNA
Rfam family: Bacterial small subunit ribosomal RNA
Source: RNAcentral
UACGAAGGGUGCAAACGUUGCUCGGAAUCAUUGGGCGUAAAGCGCACGUAGGCGGCUUCGCAAGUCGGAUGUGAAAUCCCAUGGCUCAACCAUGGACGUGCAUCCGAAACUGCGGAGCUUGAGUACUGAAGAGGAUCGCGGAAUUCCCGGUGUAGAGGUGAAAUUCGUAGAUAUCGGGAGGAACACCAGUGGCGAAGGCGGCUCUCUGGGCAGAUACUGACACUGAGACGCGAAAGCGUGGGGAGCAAACAGG